CCCUUAGACGUUCUGGGCCGCACGCGCGCUACACUGACGAAGGCAACGAGCUUUCCUUUACCGAAAGGUACGGGUAAUCUUUUGAAACUUCGUCGUGCUGGGGAUAGAUCCUUGCAAUUAUUGAUCUUAAACGAGGAAUUCCUAGUAAGCGCAAGUCAUCAACUUGCGUUGAUUGCGUCCCUGCCCUUUGUACACACCGCCCGUCGCUACUACCGAUUGAAUGGUUUAGUGAGGCCUUCGGAUCCGCGACUCGUUUUGUGGAGAAGUUGGACAAACUCAGUCAUUUAGAGGAAGUAAAAGUCGUAACA
RNAcentral lists this ribosomal RNA (308 nucleotides) under uncultured eukaryote. RNAcentral's name for it is "partial 18S ribosomal RNA". It matches the Rfam family "Eukaryotic small subunit ribosomal RNA", at positions 1470 to 1796 of the family's 1831-position model. The record is from RNAcentral.